UAGUGACGUAAGGAAAGGCCCCGCCUCCUAUCGUCGUUUUGUUCUGGAAGCUUCAGCCGCCGGGUUGUGACAGCUGCGCAGUAUCCGCCUCCAUCCUCCCUUGUCUCCGGUGCGCUUCCGUUAAAGCAUCGUCCGCAGAUAUCAAUUGGCACUGCCCGAGCUAAAGUAGUCACAAUGUUGCAGAGUUCUGUGCCCAAAGCAUCAGCCUCAGCGGGCGGAGGGGCAGGGAACUGGAAGGGCGCCUACCAGGACAGGGACAAGCCGGCGCAGAUUCGCUACAGCAACAUCGCUGCGGGCAAAGCUGUUGCUGAAGCUGUCAGAACCAGUCUGGGACCAAAGGGCAUGGACAAAAUGAUUCAGGACGGAAAAGGAGAUGUGACCAUUACAAAUGAUGGAGCAACUAUUUUGAAACAGAUGCAGGUUUUGCACCCAGCAGCCAAAAUGCUUGUUGAGUUAUCUAAAGCUCAAGACAUUGAAGCAGGAGACGGAACAACCUCGGUUGUAGUUAUUGCUGGAGCCCUGCUGGAUGCAUGCGCCAAGCUUCUGCAGAAAGGUAUACAUCCCACCACCAUUUCAGAAUCCUUCCAGUUGGCCUCAGAGAAGGGUGUAGAAGUUCUUAACAGUAUGUCCCAGCCUGUUGAAUUAAGUGACAGAGAAACACUUUUGAACAGUGCAACAACAUCCCUGAACUCAAAGGUUGUGUUCCAGUACUCGAGUUUACUUGCUCCAAUGAGUGUGGAUGCAGUAAUGAAGGUGAUUGAUCCACAGACAGCCAACAGUGUGGAUCUUAGAGACAUAAAAAUUGUCAAGAAAUUUGGAGGAACCAUUGAUGAUUGUGAACUAGUUGAUGGCCUUGUGCUCACACAGAAAGUGUCAAAUACUGGAGUAACCCGGGUUGAGAAAGCCAAGAUCGGGCUGAUUCAGUUCUGCUUGUCAGCACCAAAAACAGAUAUGGACAAUCAGAUUGUGGUUUCAGACUAUGCUCAGAUGGACAGAGUUCUGCGGGAGGAACGGACAUACAUCCUUAACCUGGUGAAACAAAUCAAGAAAGUGGGUUGCAAUGUGCUUCUCAUUCAGAAGUCCAUUUUAAGGGAUGCUCUAAGUGAUCUUGCUUUACACUUCCUGAAUAAGAUGAAAAUAAUGGUGAUAAAAGAUAUUGAGAGAGAAGAUAUUGAGUUCAUAUGUAAGACCAUUGGAGCCAAACCAGUUGCGCAUAUAGACCAGUUUACUGCUGACAUGCUGGCAUCUGCUGAACUUGCUGAAGAAGUUAGUCUGAACGGUUCUGGAAAACUAGUUAAGAUAACUGGCUGUGCCAACCCUGGAAAAACUGUUACAAUAGUAGUACGUGGUUCCAACAAAUUGGUCAUUGAGGAAGCAGAACGUUCCAUUCAUGAUGCUCUUUGUGUUAUACGUUGCUUAGUUAAGAAAAAAGCUCUUAUAGCUGGAGGCGGUGCCCCUGAGAUUGAACUAUCCCUGCGUUUGAAUGAGUAUUCUCGAGCACUGAGUGGCAUGGAGUCCUACUGUAUUCGAGGCUUUGCAGAUGCCUUGGAGGUUAUUCCUUUCACACUGGCUGAAAAUGCUGGACUCAAACCCAUAUCCACUGUAACGGAACUGAGAAACAGACAUGCACAGGGUGAAAAAACAGCUGGAAUUAAUGUCCGAAAGGUAAAAUCAUUUGCAGAUGCCUCUGACUGUGCUGUUCGGAUUCUUUUUUUACAAUUCAAAAUUUAUUUUACUUUUACAGGGAGGAAUUUCCAAUAUUUUGGAGGAACUUGUUGUCCAGCCUUUAUUGGUAUCUAUUAGCUCCCUUACUCUGGCUACAGAGACUGUGCGCAGUAUUCUCAAGAUUGAUGAUGUGGUGAACGCACGAUAAACUUCGUAAACGCAAUUUUGUGGCCGAAUAUGUGUUCAGCUUUUUGGAAAAAUAAACUAAGGCAACCACUGUGGAGAUCAAAGCUUUGCUACUAUUAUGCAUUAUUCGACUGCUUGUCAGCACUUAACUUAAUAAAAUUGUUACUGUUGUAAUGGU
Molecule: RNA transcript, 2029 nt
Organism: Xenopus laevis (African clawed frog)
Lineage: Eukaryota; Metazoa; Chordata; Amphibia; Anura; Pipidae
Gene: cct4.L
Gene name: chaperonin containing TCP1 subunit 4 L homeolog
Exons: 13
Source: RefSeq, marked provisional